UACGGAGGGUGCAAGCGUUGUUCGGAAUUACUGGGCGUAAAGCGCGUGUAGGCGGCUUCUUAAGUCUGAUGUGAAAGCCCGGGGCUCACCCCCGGAAGUGCAUUGGAAACUGGGGAGCUUGAGUACCGGAGAGGAUGGUGGAAUUCCUGGUGUAGCGGUGAAAUGCGUAGAUAUCAGGAGGAACACCGGUGGCGAAGGCGGCCAUCUGGACGGAUACUGACGCUGAGAAGCGAAAGCGUGGGGAGCAAACAGG
Molecule: ribosomal RNA, 253 nt
Filed under: uncultured bacterium
Lineage: Bacteria
Description: partial 16S ribosomal RNA
Rfam family: Bacterial small subunit ribosomal RNA
Source: RNAcentral